RNAcentral lists this ribosomal RNA (452 nucleotides) under uncultured bacterium. RNAcentral describes it as "SSU rRNA". It matches the Rfam family "Bacterial small subunit ribosomal RNA", at positions 26 to 518 of the family's 1533-position model. The record is from RNAcentral.
AGGAUGAACGCUGGCGGUAUGCUUUACACAUGCAAGUCGUACGAGAGUUUUUAACUCAAGUGGCGGACGGGUGAGUAACACGUAAGAAUUUGCCUUUAGGAGGGGGAUAACAACUGGAAACGGUUGCUAAUACCCCAUAUGCUUUCGAGUGAAAUGGAUUUUUCCGCCUAAAGAGAAGCUUGCGGCUGAUUAGCUUGUUGGUGAGGUAAUGGCUUACCAAGGCGACGAUCAGUAUCUGGUUUGAGAGGACGAUCAGACACACUGGAACUGAGACACGGUCCAGACUCCUACGGGAGGCAGCAGUGGGGAAUUUUCCGCAAUGGGCGAAAGCCUGACGGAGCAAUACCGCGUGAGGGAUGACGGCCUAUGGGUUGUAAACCUCUUUUUCAGGGAGGAAUCAAUGACGUGUACCUGAAGAAUAAGACAUCGGCUAACUCCGCGCCAGCAGCCGC